UUUUGUAUUUUCUUCCUUCUCAUUUUUUCUUGUUCCUUCCUUCCAUUUUUUUUCACUUGCUUAUGGAGUUUCGUUUAUGGUGAGUUCUCUCGCGCCUGUUCUUCAUCUCUCUAGCUCCUUAUUCGACAUUCUCUCACAUUUGUUUUCUUUUUGAAUCGGAUGACUUUCUAUGAUGAUAGGGUGUAGCUCACAAAAGCAUCGCGUGUUGCUUGUUGACGAUUGGAGAAGACGAAGUAGUGGUACUAAAGACCGAGGCAGUUGGAGAGGAUUUCGAUGCAACUGGUGAUGUCGAGGUAGUCGUAUUGUGAUGGGAAGGGUUCCGACAAAAGGCAUAAGGGUUGGUAGACUUGCUGCUGCGACAGAGGCAACGAGUGAUGCUUCUUGAAGGAAGAAGGGUUGCUUAAUUUUCAAGAUGAAGCAUCAAUUGAAUUAUGGUGAAGAUGAUUGUCCUAUUACUGCCCUCGAUGAAGCAACCAUUGCAUAGGAAAUCUAUUGACACAUUAGGCCAGAGAACUUCUUGGUAUAGAGAUGGUUAUGAUAUGGAAGAGAAAGCUGUAAGAGCAUAUGAUCUUGUAGAUCUUAAGUAUUUACAAAGGAGUACAGAGGAGAGGAGUACAGAGGAGUGACAAGGAACCUUGACAAGCGCAAGUGGCUGUUGAUUGCGAUGGAUGUGGCCUUUGGCAUGGAGUACUUGCAUGGAAAAAAUAUAGUACACUUUGACCUGAAAAGUGACAACUUGCUCGUGAAUCUCCGAGAUCCACACCGUCCAAUAUGCAAGGUUGGUGACUUGGGUCUGUCCAAAGUAAAAUGCCAGACUUUAAUAUCUGGCGGAGUUAGAGGAACUCUACCUUGGAUGGCCCCAUAACUGCUGAAUGGGAGCAAUAGUCUUGUAUCAGAGAAGGUGGAUUUGACACCUUAUGUGGAGAAGCAUGAGUUCUGUUUUGAUGUUGUUCUUCAUGAGAAUGUUACCAAUGACGAACUAUGAAGAGUACAUAAAGAUAAAAAGGUUAGAGAUCUUGGAAUGCAUAUCUUUAUGUGAAAGAUUUAUCUUUUAAUUUUCCCUAUUAAAUCAUUGGAGUACUGUGGGCAUGGACCAAUUCAACUGAGAUAGAACUACAAUUAUGGAGCAGCAGAGGAAAGCAUUGGUAAAUGGUAAGUUGAAUGUGAUGGAGGAAACCUUGAUAUUGUUCACGCUCGUGUUGAUUACUACACACAAUACUAUUCAAAGCUUGGAGUUGCUCCUGGUGAUAACUUCACUUGCUAAGCCAUCUUAGUUACUCAAUGCAUCAAGGAUAUCUUACUGGGAUGGGUUGCUCAUAAAGUUGGGUUACAUGUUGAAAAAUAUCCCUUUUGUGAACAAGAUUCAAGAGUCUAGCCAGGGAAUUCUUUUUUCAACA
Molecule: long non-coding RNA, 1397 nt
Organism: Vigna unguiculata (cowpea)
Lineage: Eukaryota; Viridiplantae; Streptophyta; Magnoliopsida; Fabales; Fabaceae
Source: RefSeq, a predicted model, not a curated record